Long non-coding RNA from Neopelma chrysocephalum (saffron-crested tyrant-manakin), 4769 nucleotides. RefSeq lists it as uncharacterized. NCBI's taxonomy places the organism in Eukaryota, Metazoa, Chordata, Aves, Passeriformes, Pipridae. The record is from RefSeq and is a predicted model, not a curated record. The transcript has 3 exons.
AAGACUUAAAACCUCAGCUGAUUGUCAUCAAGUUACCAGGCCUAUGCACACCAAGAGUGAAGUUCCCUGAAAAGCUUUCACUAAUCUCUGGCUUCUCUGCUGCCAAUGGGGCAGUCUUCCCCUUCCUUUGCUUUCUCAAGCUGCUGCCUGAGGUCAGCUGGACCAGCUUGCUGUGAAGCUGUAGCUUUGGAGCCCCUCUUGUGUCCUUUGCUCACCCCCUGCCAGGCAGUGUUCAGUCUGUGUGAGAUGAAGGGUGAGGGGCAGCGAUUGCAGACUCUGUUUGGGCAGUGGGGAUGGGCAGAAGCAACCAGCCUCCAGCCUGCACUGAACUGGCCUCUCAGCCCUGCUGCUGCCUCUGCUGCUGAGGCUUGGCUUGGCAAGACUGAGGGCAAACCUGUGCUGCUGCUGCCAGGAUCCUACUGAGUUUGGGGAAAGGGAAGGAUUUGCUGUAUUGGUGCCCUGGGUGACCUAUGUGGUCAGAUACUGGGACUUGCAGCGUGUUUCUAAACUUGACAUUGUGAAACAGGGGCUCAGACCAGUUCACUGUGCCUUGUGAGACACAGGCACUGCCUGCACCACGGGCUGAUAAACUCCAGCAUGACCCCAGUGUGCCCUAUCAUCCUCUGCUCCAGCCAUCCCUCUGCUCCACAGCCUUCCUGUGAGCCCAUUUUGCAUGUCUCUGUUUAGAUGAACACUGAUUUAUUGCAGCAAGCUGUUGAAGUUUUGAUUCAUCCUGCAGGUUUUCUUGUUCACUGAAAAUCGCUUUUUAAGUUAUUUGCUGAGAUCUUUAAUAAGGAAUUUCCACUUUUGUGACAAGAUAUGGUUUCAAAUGGGUUCUGGCACAUGGUGUUGAAUUGAAAAUAGCUGUAACUUGCUUACAGCAUUGUUAGAAUCUCCAGGGAUAAUGAUGCAACUAAAGCUUCUGCUCUGUUCAUUUUGAAACUCUUGCUCUUGCUGGAGACUCUGCUCUGCUCUGUGUGAUGGACAGUUGUAAUUAGUGACACUUUUGCAUGUUUGCUGUUUCUGAAAGAAAGCAAAUAGGGCCUAAAAUAAUUUUUACUUUGAAUAAGGAUUUCUUCCCCUGUAUGUCUUAAGUUUCCUGCAGCCUGCUUCCUCAGCUCCACUGAAAGACACCAGGUUUUCUCAUGAUCUCCUGCUGGAUAUUUGGCUAAUUUGCUGAGACUUCUAUUUUGACACGAAAGUGAUGUUGGUCUUCUGAAAAACAGGGAAUGUGUUACAUUUUCUAGUCUUUUUGUAUCACCUUUCUCUCAGCCACUUGAUUUCUGUGUUGCUGUAAAUUAUUAACUUUUGAACACAGAGAUAUUAUUGCCUCUAACUCUUCUCCUGCCCUUUGAAUUGCAGGGUUGCUUUUAUUGGCAGCAUGCACUGAGAAAUCAUGUUGGCCACUUACAGCCCUGAAAUUGUAAUAGUUUAUCCCAUUACAUGGUGAUUUUUUCCAGCUCAGUUCUCCUGAGAACCUUGAAAUGGGUUUUCCAUAAAAAUAUUCCAGCCACUCUUUUUCUUUUAAAGGCUAUAGUCAAAUUUGAAGGGAUAAUCUGGCUAUUGUUUCUUGUGGUAUACAUGUUCUACCCUGAUGAUUUUGUAAAUUAUAGAGGAUUUCUAUAGUGUAGUCUGGGUUGCUGAGAACCAGGGGAACGAGCUUGCUUGUUCUUUGGCUGCAAGCAGACAUACGUCAUUAGCAUCUUAACUGAUGGAAACUUUGCCGCGAAAAAUGCACACGCUCUUAAUGCUUUUAAUCUGCACAAGCACUCCAUGAGUUUGCAAUAAGCUGUAAUAAAAGGUUUAGGUGUCUUAUACCUACAUUUCCUCAAUGGCUCACAGUAUCAUCCUCAGGAAUGUAUUCCAAGUGCACUCUGCUUUGUGACUGGUUGUUUUGUCAUCUUCCUUUCUCCAUAGCUGUUGUGAGUAUUGUCUGAGAACCAGAACUGUUGAAUUUGAACUGACAGCACAGUAUGCUGCUACUUUCAAACUGCUUGGGCCUUCAUGUUCAUUAUGAUUCAGGAUGGCAAGUAUUUGACAGGAAAGAACAAAUGAACUAGAACAAGAAUUCACUUGCUUUGAAUAAAUACGGCUUAGUUACACCUGGUGAAGCAAUGUCCUUUUGCUCGAGCGGGGAGUUGCCACACUGCUGCAAAGGCAAAACAUGGCCAGGAGAACAGAAAGAGUCAAGCAGAGCCAUGGAGUUCCUGGGACAAGCAGGAGCAGUGUGUGUACUUGUGACCCCAUUCUCUCCAUGUGCACACUUCCUGGGAUGUGGUGGUGGGGUUUGUCUGUGACGAAUAAUUCAGGUGGUGACAUCAUGUCAGUAUAUGUCCUUCUCCUUCCUCAAUGCCUACUCAAGAAUUGUUGCUCAUGGUUCAAAAUAGCUGUAAGAUAAUAAAUUCCAGCCAAUUCCUGGUGAAAGAGGAAAUAGUAAUUUAAAAAAUUUCCUGUCCCAGACUGUGGCCUGUCAUCCUGUUGGGGUCUGUGAAGAUGAGGUGCAAUAUGUGACAACCUACACAUCCUGUAGGAGCGAAUCACACAUUCAGAGAUCUGCAGAGUUUCCAGGACAGUCCAGAUGGGUUCAUGAGAAAUGACGGGAGAAAAUAAAGGUAAUAUUGAUGGCUACAGAGCCUGAGCCUUGGGAUACUGCUAAUGAUUUGAGUAAGAUUGGAUUUGGAUUUGGAUUUGGCCCAAAAUACUUUUGGCUAAUGAAGAUUAUACUGUCUUCAGCUAGAGGGGCGGGUGUUGAAAUGGGAGUGCUUUCACUGGGUAAGCAAACAUAGUUUUAUGGAGGUAUUCCAGAAGAGACAUGUCCCUAACGCAGCCUGACAGUGUAACUGUUCAGAAAUUAGUGGGAUUUGCCAGGAACCAGUAAUACCCACUACAUUUUGAGCCAGGUUCUUUUGAUGUCCAUUUUCUGAUGUGCUGCCCUGGGGAAAUCUGCCAUCUAUUCAUCUCUUCAAUCCUUUAAUAACAUCCCUUGUGCCAGGAACAUCAGAAUGCUGAAUGCCAUGACUGAGAUGUUACUAUGAAUAUGCUGAAGAUCUUUGCUUGGUGUGCGAUGAAACGAUCUUUGGGGAAUAAGUGAAACAAAAGAGUGUGUAGGAUAUCCUUUAAUUCAAUGAAGAAUGUGGGUGGAGAAGUAAUUGAAAUGAACAAGAUGCUUUGGAUUUUCCUUAAUGCCUUGAAUACUUCAGGGUGUGCUUAAACCUCUCUGUGUGUGUGUGAACCGUUUGCUGCUCAAAGAACUAAUGAAAGCAGGAGCCCAUGUUUUUUAACCUGCUCCCAUCACACCUUUUCCCUGAGGUGCGGGCACUGUAUUCCUUGUGGCAGUUCUGAGAGAGGAGAAAUAACCCUACAAAGGAUUUUAGACUUGUGUAUGUCUGAGUGACAGCCACCUGCUGCUGAAAGCUACUGGAGUGGCUCCUUCCCUCUCCUUGCCCUCAGCAGUGACAGUCCUUUGUGACCUUCUACAGCAGUCACCAGUUGCCUCUUUCAAGUGUGGUUAAAUCUGAGCAACAUAUUCCUGAAUUAUUUAAGGGGAAAGGAAGAUGUGCCUGUAGUCUGCAGCACAGGUGUGUGAGCCUCUCUCCUUCCAAAGGCAGCUUGAAAUAUUUUGUGCACAAAGGAUGGUGUUUUUGAUGCCCAUUGCACCCACUGUCACUAAGGAGUAGGGAGGAAAAGACCAGGAUGCCAGCAGCAGAUAAGCCAAGCCAUAAGGCAACAGUGUUGCCUGCAAGUGAUGCCUGCCAGAUUCCUUCAAGAAUAAAAUCCCUUUUGUUGGAGUUGGACUCAAUCACGCCUUGAAUGAUUUAAUUACAAAAAAACAUUAACCAGAGCUUGAGAGUCAGGUAUGUCUAUGGAUAGUAGCUAUUCAUUUAUCUCCAGCACAACAAAGACAGGAAAUGCUUAAGAUAACAAUGAGCCAACUACAUCUAUCACUUCCUUUCAAGGAAGUUUCAGUUCCUUUCAAAAGAAAACCCUUUGAAUCUAGAAAGACCUAAAGAAUACACUCAUACAUGUUAGAUCAAACCCUUCUCAUAAGCAUUGAAAGAAAAAAAGAUACUAUAGAUGAAGGUCUAUACUUUUGUUGUCUUACAUCCUCAAAAAAAAGCCUCUCAAACAACAAAACCAACCGGACUGGAAGUAUGUAACUGCAUUAUCAUAGACAUGUUGUCAACUCUACACUUGGACUGAAAACUUUUUCUGAAACAUAUUUCCUACUUCAACCAGAAGCUAUGAGCUUCAUGCAGAUUGUGUGCCCUCACUGCUCCAGCUGUCCCUCAUCCUCUGCCUUCCCCUGCUCCAGCUCUCAUGAUGCAGAGAAACUUGUGAUUAAAGAGAAAUGGAAAAUGUCACAAUCUUUGCAGAACAAAGAAGGAUCAGAAGGAAUGUAGUGGAAAUAAACAGAAUCAAGGGUUAUAUAGAGGAAGAUUGUUCUUAUAUGAGAAAAAAGGGCAUUAAGUUAAAUUCUGCAGUAGAGCAUUUACAUCUGAUGAAAGAAUAUAUUUUUGAAGUACCUCAAUUAGUUCAUGGAACUCACUGUUACAAGAUGUCACAGAUUAAAACAGGAUUUAAAAAGGAUUACAUGUUCUUCUCUAUAAACUGUGUGUCCGUUUAUAUUAGUUAAGUACAACAACGAGCUGAUUUAUUUUAUUUGAAUACUGAAUCUGUAAAAAAAUCUGACAGCUUUUUUGGUCAUGGAAUAUAGUUAUGUUGGAAGAAACAAAAGACUUCAUCAAAAGAUAUCACUUCAACACUCAUAA